Long non-coding RNA from Coturnix japonica (Japanese quail), 517 nucleotides. RefSeq lists it as uncharacterized. The record is from RefSeq and is a predicted model, not a curated record. NCBI's taxonomy places the organism in Eukaryota, Metazoa, Chordata, Aves, Galliformes, Phasianidae.
CUGAUCCUAUUGGGGUGUUAUAAGGACACAUUGGGGUGUUGUAGGGCUUCUCAGGUUGUAGUUGAUCCUAUUGGGGUGUUGUAGGGCUCCUCAGGUUGUAGUUGAUCCUAUUGGGGUGUUGUAGGGACCCAUUGGGUGUCUCUGGUUCCAUUGGGGUGUUGUAGGGACCCUCAGGUUGUUGUAGGGACCCUCAGGUUGUAGUUGAUCCUAUUGGGGUAUUGUAGGGCUCCUCAGGUUGUUGUAGGGCCCCUCAGGUUGUAUCUGAUCCUAUUGGGGUGUUGUAGGGACCCUUUGGGUGUAUCUGGCCCCAUUGGGGUGUUGUAGGGACCCUCAGGUUGUAGCUGAUCCUAUUGGGGUGUUAUAAGGACCCAUUGGGGUGUUGUAGGGCCCCUCAGGUUGUAGUUGAUCCUAUUGGGGUGUUGUAGGGCUCCUCAGGUUGUUGUAGGAACUCAUUGGGUGUCUCUGGUUCCAUUGGGGUGUUGUAGGGCCCCAUUGGGUGUAUGUGAUCCUAUUGGGG